Molecule: long non-coding RNA, 4324 nt
Organism: Hylaeus anthracinus
Lineage: Eukaryota; Metazoa; Arthropoda; Insecta; Hymenoptera; Colletidae
Exons: 4
Source: RefSeq, a predicted model, not a curated record
ACCAUUCUGACGGUGUGCAACUUUCGGUUGCGAAAACGAACACCGCGGACCGCGGGAGUGUAAUCUCUUCGGAACGAAACUAUGACUCUCUGCUUUUACUUGUUCCUUCGAUCGAGCGAGUAGUCCUCGCAAGUGACAUCACAGUCUAUACAUCCAGCGAGAUAUACUCGAUGACAGGAAUUCAGGGGGCGACUGUUCGUUCACACGACGGGAAGAUUUUGAAUUCACGAGGUUGAGAAAUUCGUUUUCGACGCACCACGAAUCGCUAAGGACGGGAACGCACGUAUCUCGACUGGAAGACGAAGAACGGUCCGUCGCGACGAGCAUUCGCGAGCAACCGCAACACACUGAGCCGCUUGAGCGAGGAAGACGAGGCUAUGAGGCGCGGACAAACGACGUCGGGACGACGCCGCGUCUUCGUCGGCUUCGUGGGCGCGCGCCUCCGCUCUGGCUGCGUCACGGCGCCUGCUCGCUCAGGGUACUACGUGUUCGAUGAGUAAAAACCCAUCCGGGAAGGGGUAGGGAGCAGGGGCGCGAUUUGCAGGCCGGUUAUUACGUACGAUUCUCUAGGCGUCGAGUAAUUGCGGGAAGAGAAUAUCGUUCGGUCGCCGUAAAAGGAUCGAUAGAGGGUGCCGAGUCACGACGACCACGUGAAAUUUUCGCCAUGAAAUUACGAGGAUCGAUACUGGAAAACGGGGUGCGCGUUGCACCCUGAAAUAUAUGUUUACUUUUGUGAGUUUCGUUGAAAUAUUUUCAAGCUUCCUUCUAAUCAAGCCUGGAGAACACCCUUCCGGUUCGCGAUUUCGAAAAACGACUGAAACUGACCAGCGUAGCCAGGUUUAUUUUUCUUCUAGGCGAAUACCGUACACAAUAGUGAUUGCAUCUGAUAUAGAAAACUGCAAGAUCUCGAUACACAAGUGACAAAUUCUGCGAUCAUGUAAAUUACCUUUUUAUACAGCAAUCGUUUCAUACCGACUUCCGAGCUUCAAUCGAAGAAUCAAUGUAUAAUGCAUAAUACUUUUUUUUUUCAUGAAGAAAAAUGCGUUCUUAAAGUGGGAAGUACGUGGGUUGUACUUAUGCAAAUUUUGAAAAAGUUGUUAUCGGCAAUGCUUGAGCAAAAAGUUUAUGCAGAAACGUUAGUGUUGCGGUAUUCUAGCUUAGAGGACUUAUUUCUCUCUCUUUUUAAGAAGGCUGACUAAAUCGAAUCGAUUAAAAAAUCAAUUCAAGCUGAACACACGGACUAUUUAAUUACACGUGUACUAAAUGUGUGCAAGGACAUAAUGGAAGUACAAGAGCGUAACUAAGAACCUGCGUAAUUAGAAACCGCGUAACUCGAGGACUCGUUAUGCAUUUCUGACUCGGAAUUCUCUGAAUCGUUGUCGGACUGCGUGGUACACAUUUCAUGCAAGAAUAUUCAGAAAUGUGGCUAUUUUUAAACCGAGCCACGCGUUUAAUUUCACGGCGUUGACUAAUCACGGAAAUAUUGUUUCUAUAUCCGCGAAAGGAUAGAUAAGUAUAUUUUGAUUUCGUCGAAUUACAAUACGAAAAUGUACAAUCGAAUACGAGAAUAAUUUAGGAAUACCUAUCACUCGGUAACUGAUCGAUACACAACUACUAACUCGAAUGACAUAUAGCAAUGCCACGACAGAAAUGUCGUCUAGAUAUUUAAAGAGAAUCGAUGCGAGAUUAGGUAAUCUUUUGGUAAAGUUUAGAGUUCUGGCUGGGUGAUGUGUUCCAGUUUCACGUGGAAUGUAUUGUUUCGAUAGCUUCAUACUAAAUUCUGUCACGCUUUCUCAAUUCUGUGUCAGUUCGUUUUGUUCUAUUGUCGUACCAACGUGACUACCAGUCAAUUGUCGUCGACGAUUAUUAUUCUGCGUUAUCACGGUGCCAUCGAAACCACGCAAUUCUGACUACCAAGAAACGUUCAAAGAUACUGGAAUUUAUACGUUGUUACUGUUUUACUAAUCGAUUUGCUUUUUUUAUUAUCACGAGGUCAAGCUACUGUUUUCCCGUAUUUAUUAUCGAUGUAAUGGAAUAGAAAGGGGGUUUUAAACAAAUAUCAAUACGUACUGUUCGAAGUGCUUUGUGUCGGAAACGAUAAAGUAGGUAUGAAGCAAUAAAAAUAGUAAUUUUCAGAAUCGUUACUUUAAUCGCGAGCAUACGUCAAACCUCGAACGUCGUGUGUUCCAUCGUAUCCAUGAUUUCACAACCGUGGCCUUCAUUAGAGCGGAUUCAAGGCACUCCUUUGACGAAAUAACUAACUUGGAACAGUAGUUCGUUGAAAUCGUGAAUUUAAGACGCGCCUCGAGUCCACUCCGAAACGAAAUGGCUUUCUAAUGUUUAUUGAUGAACACGUUUAGUGUUUCUAUCGCGGUAUCGUAAAGGUCGAUGUCUCGGAAUAUGUAGAAUUGUUCGAAUCGACCCCGUGUAAUUGCCUAGCGUCCACUUUUAGCGCGAAGUAUAUGAGGAAACUCGUGGUUAAACGGCGCCAGAUGCUUCCGUCAUCAGCAGAUGUCAAAACUAAUGUUUACUGGAGCUUUUGCGUGAAACAAACGACGAACAUCCGGUGCGAGCGACGUACGAACAUUUUGAAAAACGGCUCGUUGCAAGUGGAAAUCACAGCCAUUUGUCCUGUGGGCGUAUCGUUUCUCUCUAGGUUGAACAAACAAACCAAUCAUAGAAACUGUUCCUUAAAUUUCGCUCUGACUUCAUCGCUAUAAAACGCUUCGGCGUAGAAAAUUCUCGAUAAACCACGCGCUUAUCAUCUCUAACAUAACAAGUCACGAUUAACGCGUAUGCUUUCGUACAUUUGGCACCCGAGAAGUUCUGAACUGGGUUCAGCGAAAUAUUAUUGCGAAGUGCUUUACUAUCAUUGAUAGAAUCUAUUUUGUUAUGAGACAUUGGGUCGUUAUAGUUUAUUUUUGUUCGCGUUGCGCUAUUUUCGAGACAUGUAGACGAGCCACGAGCGUCGAAAGGUUACGAGGUCAUUUCGAUCGAUGACAUUACAGAUGAGGUCUCUCUAUAUAAAGGUGAGCAAUAGAUUAUCUGAUUCAUAGAAGAAUUAUGUAAAUGAAAUUCUGUUAAAGAAAAGAAAUGUAAAAUACGUAAUGUCCAAAGCAAUAAUAGCGUUUGAAUAUGUGCGCAAUUCACGUAUUAAGCAUUACGACGACGUUUGAACGGUUUAUUGCGAUGCACUUCGAGUUACAAACAGACCUAUUACAAGAAAAAACGUGGCCAUCAUAAAGUACUCGAUGUGUUUUUAUAUUCUGGGGAAGAUCAUGAUAAACGCGAUGGAUUCAAAAUGGAAUACGACUACAGCGCUACAUCCCAUGGGAGUCGGUCGCCGAUUGAAAUUUGUGUCCCGCCAGCACCGCCAUGAAAGUUGACGACCAAUUCGAAUGAAGUUUCAGAAGGAGACGAUGAACGAUCGUCGACCAUGUUUGCUCGAAAGACGGCCCCUCGCCUUUCAAGGAAGAUAAAUCUUUGAAAACUUUACGAGUCGUUUUUGCGACUGAAGAUUCCAGGAGACACUUGGAUUGGUACGCUCAUAAUUUGUAUACUUUGCAAACGAUGGAGUUUCCAUUCUACGAUUAGAGAGUCUCUCGAGAUCUCCAUGCGUCCGUUUGCAUAACCCAAUUGGUUACGACACGUUGUCUGAGAAGCCAUGUCUGAUAUACUGUUCAUUUGUAAGAAAGUGGUGAAUACGGGCAACGUGACCGUUGCAUAUAGUUUAAAAAGUUCCUGUAAAAAUGUAGAUACCGCUCGAGAAGAACGUAACACUAAUUUGCACCCCCUACUCAAAUCAGUCCAAACUAAAUUCCUGUUGAAAGCUAACUCCGCAGGAAAAUUACUAUAAAUGCAAGGAUGACAACGUGGCUUUCCUAAUAUAGUAAAUAUAAAUUAUAAAUGCAAAUUUGGUCAUUUAAAGAUCUCGUUAAAGGGAAGAAAAAAUUGUCUUUAAACGUUUGCAUGGAAAUUAACUGCUCAAAGAUAUCAGCGUUGUAAUUAGUAAACCAGUCUUCAUACGAUUCUACGUAUGAUUUUUUAUACGAUUAACUCAUACCACACGUAACACGCAACGCUUCUCGUAACAAGUAUUCGGAAUUAUCGCAAUUCAUUUAAAUGCAGGCUUGCACGUGUGACAGGUGACGUUUACAAGCGCAACAAAUCAAAUAAGCAGAGCUGAAUAUGUAAACUACGCGUAGCUUUACAAUAUACUGCUUAUUUAUAUAGAUUACAAUAUCUCUGAAAUAAUUAAUCUCCAUCCAUAAGUUUAAUAGAUCAUUUUUUUCUUCUUUAACGAGUUUUAUGUAAAGUUUGUACU